GGGACAGGAGAGACAGGUGGUGCAUGGUUGUCGUCAGCUCGUGUCGUGAGAUGUUGGGUUAAGUCCCGCAACGAGCGCAACCCUUAUCCUCAGUAGCCAGCGGCCAGGCCGGGCACUCUGUGGAGACUGCCAGGGAGAACCUGGAGGAAGGUGGGGAUGACGUCAAAUCAUCAUGCCCCUUAUGAUUUGGGCUACACACGUGCUACAAUGGCGUAAACAAAGGGAAGCGAAGUGGCGACACGGAGCGAACCCCAAAAAUAACGUCUCAGUUCGGAUUGUAGUCUGCAACUCGACUACAUGAAGCUGGAAUCGCUAGUAAUCGCGGAUCAAAAUGCCGCGGUGAAUACGUUCCCGGGUCUUGUACACACCGAAA
RNAcentral lists this ribosomal RNA (373 nucleotides) under uncultured Clostridium sp. RNAcentral describes it as "bacterial SSU rRNA". It matches the Rfam family "Bacterial small subunit ribosomal RNA", at positions 1022 to 1395 of the family's 1533-position model. Lineage: Bacteria; Bacillati; Bacillota; Clostridia; Eubacteriales; Clostridiaceae. The record is from RNAcentral.